UUGUUUUUCUAAUUUGUGAUAACUAGGAUGCAUUCCUUCUGCUAAUCUUCUGAUAGAAUAUAACUGCAUAUGAUUUCUUCCCAAYUGACAUCCAUGAACAGACAAUGUCUAUGUUCAGGAGAGAUCUUGGAAUCGAKGUAAUGCAAGACUCUUUUUGAUGUGUGUAUUACAGUUGCACACAUGCGUAGUGUUCGGAAAGUCAUAUAAACUGCAUUGAAUAAAGGAAUUCUGACAGAUGACAACGUGUUAGUCUGCAAGGGGAAGAAUAAUUCUAAUACUAAAUCUGUAUUAGACAUUAUACAGUGGUGCAAAUAAAUAAGAGGAUUGCGUUGGACAGAAAGAU
This is a long non-coding RNA of Polistes dominula (European paper wasp), 343 nucleotides long. The record is from RefSeq and is a predicted model, not a curated record. NCBI's taxonomy places the organism in Eukaryota, Metazoa, Arthropoda, Insecta, Hymenoptera, Vespidae.